AUUGAACGCUGGCGGUAUGCUUAACACAUGCAAGUCGAACGAUGAGAAAGAGCUUGCUCUUUCGAUUAGUGGCGGACGGGUGCGUAACGCGUAGGAAUCUACCUAUUAGUGGGGGACAACUUAGGGAAACUUAAGCUAAUACCGCAUACGCCCUACGGGGGAAAGAAGGGGAUCGCAAGACCUUUUGCUAAUAGCUGAGCCUGCGUAGGAUUAGCUAGUUGGUGUGGUAAAAGCUCACCAAGGCGACGAUCCUUAACUGGUUUGAGAGAAUGAUCAGUCACACUGGAACUGGGACACGGUCCAGACUCCUACGGGAGGCAGCAGUGGGGAAUAUUGGACAAUGGGCGAAAGCCUGAUCCAGCAAUACCGCGUGUGUGAAGAAGGCCUUAGGGUUGUAAAGCACUUUCAAUUGGAAGGAAAACCUCGAAGCUAAUACCUUCGAGUUUGACAUUACCUUUAGAAGAAGCACCGGCUAACUCCGUGCCAGCAGCCGCGGUAA
This 499-nucleotide ribosomal RNA is filed under the name uncultured bacterium. RNAcentral's name for it is "partial 16S ribosomal RNA". It matches the Rfam family "Bacterial small subunit ribosomal RNA", at positions 30 to 523 of the family's 1533-position model. The record is from RNAcentral.